RNAcentral lists this long non-coding RNA (983 nucleotides) under Phasianus colchicus (ring-necked pheasant). Its description in RNAcentral is "lncRNA (ENSPCLG00000015624.1)". The record is from RNAcentral. Lineage: Eukaryota; Metazoa; Chordata; Aves; Galliformes; Phasianidae.
AUCAAAUUGUAAUGCUAAAACUAAACAAUAUUUUCUAAUGAAAUGUUUUGGAAAAUGCUUUGGUUUAUCAAUUUCCCAUUAUAAAAAGUUUAUUUGAGUUGCAACUGUCGGAAUCUCAGGAUUUGGCUUUUGAACUAGGGCACAUAUUGUUGGAAACAGUUGCUAAGUUUUGGAUAUGAUUUUUAUUAUAUUCUUAAUAGUGACAGGUGUCCUUCUGAAGUUAAAAUUUGAGAUAUCACUUUGUCUUCAGUCCAUUUAAAUUGUUACAUUCUAUAUGAGUCCUGAAGGACUGUGUCACAGCUCAUAAAGCAUGAUUAGGUAAAUAUAGAGAUGGGUAUUCAUGAAGUACGAAAUCACCAGGCACAACUGAAAUAUUUUUGUUGAAUUAUAAGUUCUUUCAUCAGUGACAUUCUACUACAGUUAUAUUGACUAGAACUGUAUUGGCUGCAACUGACAAGUGGUAUUUUUGUCAUCUCUGGAAGCAGUAUUUUAAAACUGAAUUAAUUAAAUUUCAGAUUAGACUGAAACCUGAAGAAAUGGGUUCUGGAUAUGCUGAUAGAGAAACUGAGAUUUUAAGAGGCAGCCCAGGAUUGCAUGGACUUCCAGAAAAACCAGCCCCUGAUUCAGAUGUAGGACCUCCUGAGUCACCAGGGGAAGAUGGAUCUGCUGGUGAACUGAGCCCUGAAGGUCCACAAGGUCUUCCUGGGCUUGAUGGAGUGGUUGGCCCACCAGGACAGAAGGGAGAAAAGGGUGAUAGAGGUCUUCCUGGUUCUGUUGGCGCAAAGGGUGAUACUGGGGUCACUGGAUCAAUAGGCCCUAAAGGAGAAGCUGGCGCUGAUGGUUCUCCUGGGAAACCUGGACCCCCUGGACCUCCUGGGCCCCCUGGACCUCCUGGACCUUCUGGACCCACAGGUGUAAGCUAUAGUUUAGGAUUUGAGGUAUUUUACUAUUAGGAACUUUAUUAUAGCUGUGGAUGUACUCUC